RNAcentral lists this ribosomal RNA (400 nucleotides) under phytoplankton environmental sample. RNAcentral describes it as "partial small subunit ribosomal RNA". It matches the Rfam family "Eukaryotic small subunit ribosomal RNA", at positions 587 to 980 of the family's 1831-position model. The record is from RNAcentral.
AGCUCCAAUAGCGUAUAUUAAAGUUGUUGCAGUUAAAAAGCUCGUAGUUGGAUUUCUGUGCAGGUGCCUGCGCCGGCUUGACGCCAGUGUGCGGUGGACCUUCACAUCCUUCUGGUAACUGCUCCGGCAUUUAUUUGUCGGUUCAGGCUCAGAUAUUUUACCUUGAGAAAAUUAGAGUGUUUCAGGCAGGCUUUGCUCGGAAUACAUUAGCAUGGAAUAAUGGAAUAGGACUUGUGCGUCUUUCGGGGCGCCGGUCUCUGUUGUUGGUUUCAGGGACUAAAGUAAUGAUUAAUAGGGAUAGUUGGGGGCAUCAGUAUUUAAUAGUCAGAGGUGAAAUUCUCGGAUUUGUUAAAGACUAACUUAUGCGAAAGCAUUUGCCAAGGAUGUUUUCAUUAAUCAA